CCUACGGGGGGCAGCAGUGAGGAAUAUUGGUCAAUGGCCGGAAGGCUGAACCAGCCAUGCCGCGUGAAGGUCAGUGCCCUAUGGGCGUUAAACUUCUUUUGUGCGGGAGCAAUAAUGGUCACGUGUGGCCAGACGAGAGUACCGUACGAAUAAGCAUCGGCUAACUCUGUGCCAGCAGCCGCGGUAAUACGGGGGAUGCAAGCGUUAUCCGGAUUUAUUGGGUUUAAAGGGUGCGUAGGCUGUGAGGUAAGUCAGCGGUGAAAUGCCCUCGCUCAACGGGGUGAAGUGCCAUUGAUACUGCCUGGCUGGAAUGCGGAUGCCGUGGGAGGAAUGUGUGGUGUAGCGGUGAAAUGCAUAGAUAUCACACAGAACACCGAAUGCGAAGGCAUCUCACGAAUCCGCGAUUGACGCUGAUGCACGAAAGCGUGGGUAUCAAACAGGAUUAGAUACCCCUGUAGUC
RNAcentral lists this ribosomal RNA (460 nucleotides) under uncultured bacterium. RNAcentral describes it as "partial 16S ribosomal RNA". It matches the Rfam family "Bacterial small subunit ribosomal RNA", at positions 338 to 795 of the family's 1533-position model. The record is from RNAcentral.